RNAcentral lists this long non-coding RNA (976 nucleotides) under Nicotiana tabacum (common tobacco). RNAcentral's name for it is "long non-coding RNA (NTAB_LNC009229)". The record is from RNAcentral. Lineage: Eukaryota; Viridiplantae; Streptophyta; Magnoliopsida; Solanales; Solanaceae.
CUCGAAGUACAACAGCAAGAACAAUACGACAUCCAUAUAUCAAAAUCAUCAAAAUCUAACACACACAUGCAAAGUUCAAUUGAUUUCAUCAUUUUGUAAUGGUUCAAGUACUACUAUUUAAAUAAAGAAAAACAAUAAAAUAUUCUGACAAACGCUUCUCCAAACAUACAUAUUUACAAACAAAAAAAGUUUGUGUCAACUACAAAAAAGUAAAAGGUAAUUCUGAAGAUAAACAAAUGACAUUUACAUCAGACUAAAGAGGAUGUGCAAUACAAUUCAAUAUCUUUCUUAGACAUAUAUAUCCCAUCUAAUUAACUGGCCCAGACAGUAACGUUAUCUUCUACGAAAAAAACUUUACCAUUUUCUUCCCUUUUUUGAUCUUUCAAACUAUAAUUUUUUAAGGACAGUUCAUCAUGUUGAUCUAACCAUUUGAGAAAACCACACCUCAGGCCCUGCAAUAAAACUCAAACAAAUUCAAGAAAACUGAUUAGAAAACUUUUCAGUUGGAACAACAAUAGAAUUCAACAAAAGAACUAAAAUAUAUAAAACUUUGUGAAUAAAGAUUUCUGAAACACCAAUUAAACUAACAUGUAAUACCAUUAAGCGCAAACAUAAUUAAGAUUCCAGUUAUCAAUAUUGCAUAAAGCCUUUCAUUAACUUGUUGGAUCUUACGAUAUGCAAAUUCCACACAAAAUCAAACAAAAUAGAAAUUUAUUUUGAAGGAAGAAAUUUGAUGAUACCUAGCGAUUGUAAACUUGAGCAGGGACCAAAACUUGCCAGAUUCAAAACCAAAAAUACCAUGACAUGACUAAAUCAACAGGUUGGGUAUGUUUAUUGUUGAUUUUACUGCUCAAAUUAGAUCAAACUAAUAAAAUAGGGCAAGACUAAGAGAAUUAAGUCAUAAAACCUCAUGACAUUGAAAGAUAAAUUUUGGUGAGAAAGAUAUUGCUCCAAAAGGGAAAAAAUGAGUAUUUAU